RNAcentral lists this unclassified non-coding RNA (185 nucleotides) under uncultured fungus. RNAcentral's name for it is "sequence contains ITS1, 5.8S rRNA gene". Lineage: Eukaryota; Fungi. The record is from RNAcentral.
UUGAAUUCCAAACGGAUGAGAUUGCUGCUGGCUUUUGGGCAUGUGCGCAUCUCAUUCAUUCUUAUCUCACCUCUGUGCACUUUUCACAGGAAUGGCUUGUGGCUGAUGGCUGCAGGUUGUUUCUGUGUGCUUUACAAACCCUCAUAUUGUUUAGAAUGUAUAUCGUGUAUUUACACAAUUUAAUA